This is a non-coding RNA of Plutella xylostella (diamondback moth), 525 nucleotides long. NCBI's taxonomy places the organism in Eukaryota, Metazoa, Arthropoda, Insecta, Lepidoptera, Plutellidae. The record is from RefSeq and is a predicted model, not a curated record.
UAUUGUUGACGAAUCCACCUGCGAACACCGGAUUUUUAUCAAAAACCCUGAUAUUUUAAGCUAAAUUACUGUAUAAUUUGUGAAUUUUAAUUACUAUUCAGUACAAUUUUGCGCAGAACAAUGACGAAAUUGCUGGAGUGGAUAUCGGUGCUGUCAGCGUUCUUCGCCGUCUGGUACUCCCUGGUCGGGGGCUACGUGAAGCAUCCCUUCAUCGAGCAGAACUUCCACUUAAUAUUAGUCUCCCCAAUCAUUUUACUAAUGUUAUUCGGAAUCUACUCAGUAACGGUCAUCCUGUACCGAGUUCUAACGUUCAACAAUUGCGAGGAAGCGGCCAAGGAACUACAGGCUGAGAUUAAGGAAGCUAAGCAGGACUUGUAUGACCGAGGCCUGCGGUGGUGACUUGGAGGUAUUUAAAAAAGUUAAUCAUUCCAGUUCAAUUGUAAAUAUAGUAGAUAAUUAUGUUUUCUACAAAUAAAUGUAUGUAAGGCUGUAAGUUUGAAUAAAUAUUUUUAUUUAAGACCGUAA